GAAAACAGGGUUAACCCAGGACGGUAAUGUUGCUGGUAAUGGUGUUGUGGUUCUUUGUUGUUUUUUUGGUUUGUUUGUUUUUCCAUAACUUGUGAAUCUGCAAAUAUACACAUUCUGUAUUUUUCAUAUGAAAGAAACUAUACUGUGGUGGGGCUUGCUUAUUUCUUGUUUUUGAUUUAUGUACGUUUUGUUUUGUUUUGCAUAUGUUGUUUGUUUAAUUUAAGACUAAAAGAAAAUUAAAUGAAUGAGAGGUAAAACUUGAGGGGGUAGGGACAAAUAAGUAAAUACUUCUGCCUACUCCUUUUCAAACAAAUAAUGAAAUGAUAUUUUGUAAUGAUUGUGAAGGCACAUGUUUGAAAUGUUUGAAAUAAAAAUGAACUGAACUGAGAUUCAUCUGGGACUAUAGCAAGGUAGCCCUGCCUUUAACAUAACUAACCUCUCCCAAGAUUCCUUUCCAGUGGAACGACGCUGCCCAAUCAGCCUUCCAGGAGCUGAAAAAGUGGUUUGCCUUGGCACCCAUUCUGGUCCAGCCCAAUCUAAAAUUGCAGUUUGUGGUGGAGAACGCAACUACGACGUCGGUGAUCGGGAACUUCUAGCCAUCAAGCUUGCCUUGGAAGAGUGGAGUCACUGGUUGGAGGGCACUGCUCAACCGUUCAUUGUCUGGACAGACCAUAGAAAUCUAGCAUAUCUGCAAUCUGCAAAGAGACUUAACGCCAGACAAGCAAGGUGGGCUCUGUUUUUUACGCGAUUCCACUUUUCAAUCACCUACAGGCCAGGGUCUCGCAAUGUCAAGCUGGACGCCCUGUCCUGACAGUUCUCCACUUCUGAGGGCCUGGCGGACCCUGCACCCAUCCUCCCGACCACCUUUGUAGUGGGGGCUAUCUCCUUGGAAAUCGAGUCGGCCAUUCGCGAGGCUCAGAGAAGGGAACCAGACCCAGCAGGAGGGCCAGCGGGACGCGUGUUCGUUCCCCAAUCCGUCAGGUCUGAGGUAUUACAGUGGGCACACACAACCCAUUUCUCCUGUCACCCAGGAAUACACAGCACCAUUACUUUCCUGCAGCGCUACUUCUGGUGGCCCACACUGAGAGAAUUCGUCUCCGCUUGUGCAGUCUGCGCUCAAAACAAGGCUUCUAACCAGCCACCCUCGGGUCCUCUUCAUCCCUUACCCACACCCACCAGACCGUGGUCCCAUAUUUCUCUGGAUUUUGUGACCGGCCUUCCACCUUCUGCAGGUAAUACAAUCAUACUCACGAUCGUUGACCGCUUCUCUAAAACGGCUCACUUUGUUGCUCUGCCCAAGCUACCUACAGCGUUGGAGACUGCACGUCAACUCAUCAAUCACGUCUUUCGCCUGCAUGGCAUUCCGGAUGACAUUGUGUCUGACCGGGGCCCCCAAUUCACAUCCCGAUAGUGGAAAGAGUUCUGCGCCUCAUUGGGAUCUGAGGUCAGUCUGUCCUCUGGAUAUCAUCCUCAGAGCAAUGGCCAGUCUGAACGGGCGAACCAGGAGUUGGAGGCCGCCCUGCGCUGCCACGCCUGUUCCAACCAGGCCAUCAGGAGUGAGGAACUGCCAUGGAUGGAAUACGCUAUUAAAUUCUGGUUCUUUAUAUUCUUAAGGGCCAAGAAGACACAGGGCUCAAACUGGUCUUUUAACUUUAAAAAUGAUCUUUAUUUUACAUAUCCGGAUAUGGAGACCUGAACACAA
Molecule: long non-coding RNA, 1702 nt
Organism: Oreochromis aureus
Lineage: Eukaryota; Metazoa; Chordata; Actinopteri; Cichliformes; Cichlidae
Source: Ensembl